GACGAACGCUGGCGGCGUGCCUAAUACAUGCAAGUCGAACGCUGAAGGAGGAGCUUGCUUCUCUGGAUGAGUUGCGAACGGGUGAGUAACGCGUAGGUAACCUGCCUGGUAGUGGGGGAUAACUAUUGGAAACGAUAGCUAAUACCGCAUAAGAGUAGAUGUUGCAUGACAUUUGCUUAAAAGGUGCAAUUGCAUCACUACCAGAUGGACCUGCGUUGUAUUAGCUAGUUGGUGGGGUAACGGCUCACCAAGGCGACGAUACAUAGCCGACCUGAGAGGGUGAUCGGCCACACUGGGACGGAGACACGGCCCAGACGCCUACGGGAGGCAGCAGGAGGGAAUCUUCGGCAAUGGACGGAAGACUGACCGAGCAACGCCGCGGGAGUGAAGAAGGUUGUCGGAUCGUAAAGCUCGGUUGUAAGAGAAGAACGAGUGUGAGAGUGGAAAGUUCACACUGUGACGGUAACUUACCAGAAAGGGACGGCUAACUACGUG
This 495-nucleotide ribosomal RNA is filed under the name uncultured bacterium. RNAcentral's name for it is "partial 16S ribosomal RNA". It matches the Rfam family "Bacterial small subunit ribosomal RNA", at positions 28 to 507 of the family's 1533-position model. The record is from RNAcentral.